RNAcentral lists this ribosomal RNA (440 nucleotides) under uncultured bacterium. RNAcentral's name for it is "partial 16S ribosomal RNA". It matches the Rfam family "Bacterial small subunit ribosomal RNA", at positions 338 to 795 of the family's 1533-position model. The record is from RNAcentral.
CCUACGGGAGGCAGCAGUGGGGAAUAUUGGACAAUGGGGGAAACCCUGAUCCAGCGACGCCGCGUGAGUGAAGAAGUAUUUCGGUACGUAAAGCUCUAUCAGCAGGAAAGAAAAUGACGGUACCUGACUAAUAAGCCCCUGCUAACUACUUGCCAGCAGCCGCGGUAAUACGUAGGGGGCAACCGUUAUCCGGAUUUACUGGGUGAAAAGGCAGCGUAGACGGGAGCGCAAGUCUGGAGUGAAAUGCCGGGGCCCAACCCCGGAACUGCUCUGGAAACUGUGAAGCUUGAGUGCAGGAGAGGGAAGCGGAAUUCCUGGUGUAGCGGUGAAAUGCGUUGAUAUCAGGGGGAACACCGGCGGCGAAGGCGGCUUACUGGACUGUAACUGACGUUGAGGCUCGAAGGCGUGGGGUGCAAACCGGAAUAGAUACCCCUGUAGUC